UACGAAGGGGGCUAGCGUUGUUCGGAAUUACUGGGCGUAAAGCGUGCGCAGGCGGCUUCUCAAGGUCAGGGGUGAAAGCCCAGAGCUCAACUCUGGAAUUGCCUUUGAGACUGAGUGGCUUGAGUACGAGAGAGGUGAGUGGAAUUCCCAGUGUAGAGGUGAAAUUCGUAGAUAUUGGGAAGAACACCGGUGGCGAAGGCGG
This 202-nucleotide ribosomal RNA is filed under the name uncultured bacterium. RNAcentral describes it as "partial 16S ribosomal RNA". It matches the Rfam family "Bacterial small subunit ribosomal RNA", at positions 524 to 724 of the family's 1533-position model. The record is from RNAcentral.